This 350-nucleotide unclassified non-coding RNA is filed under the name soil metagenome. RNAcentral describes it as "partial contains 5.8S ribosomal RNA, internal transcribed spacer 2, and large subunit ribosomal RNA". The stretch from base 5 to 121 matches the Rfam family "5.8S ribosomal RNA", at positions 38 to 154 of the family's 154-position model. The record is from RNAcentral.
GAUGGAAGAACGUAGCGAAAUGCGAUACGUAAUGUGAAUUGCAGAAUUCAGUGAAUCAUCGAGUCUUUGAACGCACAUUGCGCCCCCUGGUAUUCCGGGGGGCAUGCCUGUCCGAGCGUCAUUGCUGCCCUCAAGCACGGCUUGUGUGUUGGGCCUCCGCCCCCCGGCUCCCGGGGGGCGGGCCCGAAAGGCAGCGGCGGCACCGCGUCCGGUCCUCGAGCGUAUGGGGCUUCGUCACCCGCUCCGUAGGCCCGGCCGGCGCCCGCCGGCGACCCCCCUCAAUCUUUCCAGGUUGACCUCGGAUCAGGUAGGGAUACCCGCUGAACUUAAGCAUAUCAAUAAGCGGAGGA